AUUGAACGCUGGCGGCAGGCCUAACACAUGCAAGUCGAACGAGAGGCGGACGGGUGAGUAAUGUAUGGGAAACUGCCCGAUGGAGGGGGAUAACUACUGGAAACGGUAGCUACUAACGAAUACAAUCGGAUCGGCCCAGAUGGGAUUAGCUAGUCGGUGGGGUAACGGCGCACCUAGGCGACGGUCCCUAACUGGUCUGAGAGGAUGACCAGCCACACUGGAACGGAGACACGGUCCAGACUCCUACUGGAGGCAGCAGUGGGGAAUAUUGCACAAUGGGCGCAAGCCUGAUGCAGCCAUGCCGCGUGUAUGAAGAAGGCCUUCGGGUUGUAAAGUACUUUCAGCGGGGAGGCGUUACCCGCAGAAGAAGCACCGGCUAACUCCGUGCCAGCAGCCGCGGUAAUUC
RNAcentral lists this ribosomal RNA (406 nucleotides) under uncultured bacterium. RNAcentral describes it as "partial 16S ribosomal RNA". It matches the Rfam family "Bacterial small subunit ribosomal RNA", at positions 30 to 526 of the family's 1533-position model. The record is from RNAcentral.